RNAcentral lists this ribosomal RNA (995 nucleotides) under Microbacterium sp. NII-1021. Its description in RNAcentral is "bacterial SSU rRNA". It matches the Rfam family "Bacterial small subunit ribosomal RNA", at positions 38 to 1048 of the family's 1533-position model. The record is from RNAcentral. Lineage: Bacteria; Bacillati; Actinomycetota; Actinomycetes; Micrococcales; Microbacteriaceae.
GGCGGGUGCUUACCAUGCAGUCGAACGGUGAAGCCCAGCUUGCUGGGUGGAUCAGUGGCGAACGGGUGAGUAACACGUGAGCAACCUGCCCUGGACUCUGGGAUAAGCGCUGGAAACGGCGUCUAAUACUGGAUAUGAGACGUGGCCGCAUGGUCAACGUUUGGAAAGAUUUUUCGGUCUGGGAUGGGCUCGCGGCCUAUCAGCUUGUUGGUGAGGUAAUGGCUCACCAAGGCGUCGACGGGUAGCCGGCCUGAGAGGGUGACCGGCCACACUGGGACUGAGACACGGCCCAGACUCCUACGGGAGGCAGCAGUGGGGAAUAUUGCACAAUGGGCGGAAGCCUGAUGCAGCAACGCCGCGUGAGGGAUGACGGCCUUCGGGUUGUAAACCUCUUUUAGCAAGGAAGAAGCUUUUGUGACGGUACUUGCAGAAAAAGCGCCGGCUAACUACGUGCCAGCAGCCGCGGUAAUACGUAGGGCGCAAGCGUUAUCCGGAAUUAUUGGGCGUAAAGAGCUCGUAGGCGGUUUGUCGCGUCUGCUGUGAAAUCCCGAGGCUCAACCUCGGGCCUGCAGUGGGUACGGGCAGACUAGAGUGCGGUAGGGGAGAUUGGAAUUCCUGGUGUAGCGGUGGAAUGCGCAGAUAUCAGGAGGAACACCGAUGGCGAAGGCAGAUCUCUGGGCCGUAACUGACGCUGAGGAGCGAAAGGGUGGGGAGCAAACAGGCUUAGAUACCCUGGUAGUCCACCCCGUAAACGUUGGGAACUAGUUGUGGGGUCCUUUCCACGGAUUCCGUGACGCAGCUAACGCAUUAAGUUCCCCGCCUGGGGAGUACGGCCGCAAGGCUAAAACUCAAAGGAAUUGACGGGGACCCGCACAAGCGGCGGAGCAUGCGGAUUAAUUCGAUGCAACGCGAAGAACCUUACCAAGGCUUGACAUACACGAGAACACCCUAGAAAUAGGGGACUCUUUGGACACUCGUGAACAGGUGGUGCAUGG